AGCGGCAUGGCAUCAACGGGGCGGCCGCGGACCUCUUCCUGGUGGGCGGGGACAAGCCUCUGGUGCUGCACCAAGACAGUAGCAUCUUGGAGUCAAGGGACCUGCGCCUAGAAAAGCGCACCUUGUUUCGGCUGGAUCUUGUUCCGAUUAACCGGUCAGUGGGACUCAAGGCCAAGCCCACCAAGCCCGUCACGGAGGUGCUGCGGCCCGUGGUGGCCAAAUACGGCCUGGACCUCAGUGGCCUGCUGGUGAGGCUGGUGAGUGUUGCACGGGGCCCGGGCGUCGUCACCGCAGGCACUGUCUGUUCCCUUUGGCAGCCUCUGUGUUGUUCACUGAAGAGGGCACACCAAGAAGCGGUGUCUUCCCCUGAUCUGGUUGUCCCCCUUGGAGGAGAGGGCACAGCCUCUGCCAUCCCCAGUUCUCGUUCUGUGCAGUGGGAGCCAUCAUGGUUUAUUUGUACCUUGGUCAUUCCAAAAAGAAU
This 481-nucleotide small RNA is filed under the name Pan troglodytes (chimpanzee). Its description in RNAcentral is "retained intron". Lineage: Eukaryota; Metazoa; Chordata; Mammalia; Primates; Hominidae. The record is from RNAcentral.